UCUUCAGAUGAUGAUCCCAAGCCUUCUGGCGAUCUAUGAGAAUGAGCCCCUGUUUGGCUUUUGGAAAGUAUUUUUCCAUUUUGUAAGAUUAUGCUGGGGAAGGUUUUCCGGUUUAUCUCGGAGGGCUUGUAGCUCAGUUGGUUAGAGCGCGCGCUUGAUAAGCGUGAGGUCGGAGGUUCAAGUCCUCCCAGGCCCACCAUUGAUAAGUGCUUGUAGGGUGCUUGUUGUGUGUGGACGUUGAGAGUGUGACGUUUGUCUAUUACGCGUUGAAGAAGUGGAAUUCGGAUUUUCCAUGAGUUUCAGUUAUUUGUUUUUAGGGGCCGUAGCUCAGCUGGGAGAGCACCUGCUUUGCAAGCAGGGGGUCGUCGGUUCA
Molecule: unclassified non-coding RNA, 373 nt
Filed under: uncultured Bartonella sp.
Lineage: Bacteria; Pseudomonadati; Pseudomonadota; Alphaproteobacteria; Hyphomicrobiales; Bartonellaceae
Description: partial 16S-23S ribosomal RNA intergenic spacer
Rfam family: tRNA (bases 123-196)
Source: RNAcentral